RNAcentral lists this ribosomal RNA (962 nucleotides) under Lecania cyrtella. Its description in RNAcentral is "eukaryotic LSU rRNA". It matches the Rfam family "Eukaryotic large subunit ribosomal RNA", at positions 1 to 978 of the family's 3401-position model. The record is from RNAcentral. Lineage: Eukaryota; Fungi; Ascomycota; Lecanoromycetes; Lecanorales; Ramalinaceae.
CAUUGACCUCGGAUCAGGUAGGGAUACCCGCUGAACUUAAGCAUAUCAAUAAGCGGAGGAAAAGAAACCAACAGGGAUUGCCUCAGUAACGGCGAGUGAAGCGGCAACAGCUCAAAUUUGAAAUCUGGCUCUUUCAGAGUCCGAGUUGUAAUUUGUAGAAGAUGUUUCGGGUGAGGCGCCAGUCUAAGUCCCUUGGAACAGGGUGUCAUAGAGGGUGAGAAUCCCGUAUGUGACCGGCGACCGAGUCCAUGUGAAACUCCUUCGACGAGUCGAGUUGUUUGGGAAUGCAGCUCAAAAUGGGUGGUAAAUUUCAUCUAAAGCUAAAUACCGGCCAGAGACCGAUAGCGCACAAGUAGAGUGAUCGAAAGAUGAAAAGCACUUUGGAAAGAGAGUUAAAAAGUACGUGAAAUUGUUGAAAGGGAAGCGCUUGCAACCAGACCUGCCUGUGGGCGUUCAGCGGGGGUUCUCCCCCGUGCACUCGUCCACAAACAGGCCAGCAUCGGUUUCGGUGGCCGGAUAAAGGCUCCAGGAAUGUAGCUCCCUCCGGGGAGUGUUAUAGCCUGGGGUGCAAUACGGCCAACCGGGACCGAGGACCGCGCUUCGGCUAGGAUGCUGGCGUAAUGGUUGUAAGCGACCCGUCUUGAAACACGGACCAAGGAGUCUAACAUCUAUGCGAGUGUUUGGGUGUCAAACCCAUGCGCGGAAUGAAAGUGAACGGAGGUGGGAGCCCUUAAGGGUGCACCAUCGACCGAUCCAGAAGUUUACGGAUGGAUUUGAGUAUGAGCAUAGCUGUUGGGACCCGAAAGAUGGUGAACUAUGCCUGAAUAGGGUGAAGCCAGAGGAAACUCUGGUGGAGGCUCGCAGCGGUUCUGACGUGCAAAUCGAUCGUCAAAUUUGGGUAUAGGGGCGAAAGACUAAUCGAACCAUCUAGUAGCUGGUUCCUGCCGAAGUUUCCCUCAGGA